RNAcentral lists this ribosomal RNA (393 nucleotides) under uncultured bacterium. Its description in RNAcentral is "partial 16S ribosomal RNA". It matches the Rfam family "Bacterial small subunit ribosomal RNA", at positions 523 to 918 of the family's 1533-position model. The record is from RNAcentral.
AUACGGAGGAUGCGAGCGUUAUCCGGAUUUAUUGGGUUUAAAGGGAGCGUAGGUGGGAUAUUAAGUCAGCUGUGAAAGUUUGGGGCUCAACCUUAAAAUUGCAGUUGAUACUGGUUUCCUUGAGUACGGUACAGGUGGGCGGAAUUCGUGGUGUAGCGGUGAAAUGCUUAGAUAUCACGAAGAACUCCGAUCGCGAAGGCAGCUCGCCUAGACGGAACUGACACUGAUGCUCGAAAGUGCGGGAAUCAAACAGGAUUAGAUGCCCUGGUAGUCCGCACCGUAAACCAUGCACACUCGCUUUUUGCGAUCCACUGUAAGCGGCCAAGCGAAAGCGUUAAGUAUUCCCCCUGGGGAGUACGCCGGCAACGGGGAAACUCAAAGGAAUCGACGGGU